This is a long non-coding RNA of Otolemur garnettii (small-eared galago), 1770 nucleotides long. RefSeq lists it as uncharacterized. The transcript is spliced from 5 exons. Lineage: Eukaryota; Metazoa; Chordata; Mammalia; Primates; Galagidae. The record is from RefSeq and is a predicted model, not a curated record.
AUCAGAAGGCGAUUAACACAAUGCAUCUCGUGAUGGCUGUGCCUGUCAGUUACGUGGAGCUUUGCCCAGGGAUUUCCUGAGCCUGCUGGAUUUACAGGGAUAUUUGGCCAUCUGAGGAUUAAUGCUGGUGGAAGCAUGCACUGGAAUUACACACACCCGGCACAUUUCAGGAUGCUAAAAGUAGUUUUGAGGAAGGCCCUGGCUGAGUGCCUUGUGGAUUCUCUCAGCCCUCAUAGCCCAUGGAGGACGGAGGUCAGCAGCUGCCUGCGAGGGCUCAGCUCUCUCACCGGUUGGGUCUUUCUCUGCCGUCACCCUUUGGGACAUCCUAUGGAAUGUGAGUCCUCUGUCUCCUGCUUGUUAAGCAUCUCAUGCAAGUUCUGUCCAGUGUUCUGCUGGGCUUUCAGGAAGGCUGUCCUGGCUGGUGGUUUGCUGUGAUGUGGCUGGUUGUCAAAAGGAACUGGUAUUUAGUGACACUCCCCCACCCCCACACAUCUGGCAUGGUGCUGGUGCAUGGGGGGACAGAUGGAAACGGAUUGGUACUUCCUGGGAGCUGCCACUGUUAUUGUGCUGACUUGUGUCAUCGCACCUCUUCGGGAAUUUCCUGGUUCGUGUGUCUGACCCCAUCUACUUGACUAUUGUCUUUGGCUUUGUUGCUGUUACAAAGGAGGCAGCAGACCUAUCUAUUCAUCACACUGUGAAUGCUGGGAGAGACACAAAGAUGAGUCUUAGCAUCUACUACCUUCAAGACAUUCACAAUUGAAUAAGCUACCCAGGUGAUAAGGACCUUGUAAAACGUCAGAGAGGGGCCCUCAGCGAUCAGCUGGCCGUCAUCAUCCUGCCUGCUUAGAGAUGGGAAAACACAGAUCCGGAGACAUCGGAGCAAAUUAGGGAGUGACAUGCAAAUCCAGCAGACCUCCAGUCCAGGUGUCCCUAUCUUGAACUCAGUCCUCUUGACGUUGUUUCUGGUCCCGGAGUACUGUUUUCUCAAACUUUGCCUCCAGAUGUCUCCACGUCAGGAGGACCUUGUCGGUGUGCUCAAGUGGCAAAGUGGAGUUUGCUGGACUUUUCCCAGUGUGGAAAGGAGGUUGCUAUGGCAGUGACCUGUACCUGAGAUGAAGUUGAAGAGAAUCAUGGGAAGAAUGUGAUGGUUCUUUGCAGAUCAGCAAAGGACUGCGGCUCAGAGAGAUGAGAAAACUGUUGCUCAGAGAAGUUACGUAACUUGGCCCCCUGAGAAGUAGCACCAGUGAAAACCCAAGUUCUAAAGACAGUUCGAGGACACAGUAGUCCCCUCUGCGAGCUGAUGGAUCAAUGUGGUCCUCCUGGAAUGAAACGUGUCCUUGUGCUGGUAGGAGUGGAGAGCACGUGUCAUUUUCCCUUCCCCUCCUGCCUUAUCUCUGAGAUUUUAAUCCAGGCUUCUUCUUUUCAGGGGACUGAGUUGCUCUCGACUCAGGAGAUAGUCCCAGCACUAACACUGACACCGAGAAAAUGGAAUACUUUAUCUGAGAGGACAGAAGACACAUCAAACUGGAAAAAGGAGCCCUGAAAAUUGGCACAUUCCCCCCACAGAGGACAGCACAUCCCCUUCCUCUCAUAACGUGUGAUGCAUUUACCCGUGAUUUGGUCACUGCUGAGCCAUCUUCAUUUAAUGCACAUUUGACAGAAUAGUUGGUCUGGAAAUUUUAUUUUCAAUUAAACUUACUUGUUGAACUGCCUUGGUUUUGAAAAGAUCCCAUUAGGAUGGCUAAUUAUAUAGCAGUUUCCACAAGGAGA